GCAUCCCUAGUCUCUGGGGCAGGGUCAGGCUCUGGGGCAGCAUCCCUAGUCUCUGGGGCAGGGUCAAUGUCUGCAGCACCAUCCCUGUUUUCUGGAGUAUGUAUCAGAGUUGUUAUCCAGCUCAAUCCCCCGUUAUCUCUUAAUGUUAAAUAGGACAAGCCUAUCAGUAACACCAGCCACUGUAUGAUAUCAUUAGCAUUCAGAGGAAAUCUGAACCCUUCAAAAACUGGUGGGGUAGACCCAAAAAUUUGGGUGAAGGGUUGGGAGAAAAUUUCCCCUGGUGUUAUUCCCUCACAGUAGGUGCCAUUAUUAAAGUAAUCCCAAAAACAUGCAGUUAGUGUGUGGUAUCCCUGAAUCCAUGUACCCGCCGUCCAAAGGAAGUUAAAAAUCCAUUAAUUCCUCACCUUAUCAAUCCAUAAAGCAAGUUCGAUAACAGUCACAGUAGCCUUAGUUACAGGGGUCAUGUUUAUGUAAGGGUUUGCAAAUGGGAGAUAUACAUGUAUGAACACGUGCAGCCCAAACCAGAUUAAACUGGACCACAUGUUGCUAGCACACAAAAAGACAAUCUCAGGCAACUGAGGAACUGUUAUUCCUUAACCUCGAGCCCCACAUUGGGCGUCAAGAUCUAUCCUGGUUUAAAGGGACAGUAUUGCCAGGAAAAGGAAAUUCAGGAACUCUCAGGCAAAAUGGUAUGGGUUUGGAGUAACAGUUCUUUAGUGAUAUAUUUACAAGACAAACAAAAACAGCAUCAGCUAUAUGAAAGGAAAAAAACGGUGACAGAACAGAAUGAAACUCAGUCUCAGUCCUUUUUUCCAGUCACCGAUGCCCCUCCUCGUCCGCACAGUUCCGAUGGAGCAGGGCAGGCAGCCUCUCAGUCGCAGCUGCUGCAGGAGCAGGGGGAGCGAGGCAGCAGCGCUAUCCCAGGUGAGAGAAGGGAAGAACUUGCUCAUCGUGGGUGUCCCAUGGGUUCUCGGCGUUGUUUCUCAGAAGCAGGAAGCUUUUGCAGUCUGAGUCCAGCGGGGAAGAAACACGGAGAAGAAACAACCUCUCUCCUCCACCGGCGAGCUGCGAGUGUCCUCCUACUCGCCGAAGUACAAAAGUAGGACUCCACCUUUCCCUAAUGGAGCCAUCAGGCUGCUCCAGCCAUUCCUUUGUCUUCAGCUCUUAACGGCUAAUAGGGGAGCCACCCUGGCUAGCUUAACAUAAUAAUGGGAAAAAUUUCUAAACCUCACCAGCCCACAACAAGCUCCCUGCAGAACUUGGGGAAAAACUGGGGGUAUUAUGGGGAAAGCAAGGGUGGUACCAAUGGGGAAAGACCAAUGGGUUACAAAGGAUUAACAUGGGUACUAGGGCAUGGUGGGAUCACUGAAACCUUUGAGGAUAGCUCACCAUGAUAAGAAAAGAUGUGCCAACCUAAGGAGCAUCAUUCCAGGAUUGAGAUAAACUAAUCACAGCCCAUUCAAGGAACAUUCCAUUCAAG
This 1480-nucleotide long non-coding RNA is filed under the name Catharus ustulatus (Swainson's thrush). RNAcentral describes it as "lncRNA (ENSCUSG00005014278.1)". The record is from RNAcentral. Lineage: Eukaryota; Metazoa; Chordata; Aves; Passeriformes; Turdidae.